RNAcentral lists this ribosomal RNA (531 nucleotides) under Amolops archotaphus (Doi Inthanon rock frog). RNAcentral's name for it is "partial large subunit ribosomal RNA". It matches the Rfam family "Bacterial large subunit ribosomal RNA", at positions 1814 to 2571 of the family's 2925-position model. The record is from RNAcentral. Lineage: Eukaryota; Metazoa; Chordata; Amphibia; Anura; Ranidae.
CAUCGCCUCUUGCCCAAACAUAAGAGGUCCAGCCUGCCCAGUGACAUAGUUUAACGGCCGCGGUACCCUAACCGUGCGAAGGUAGCAUAAUCACUUGUUCUUUAAAUAGGGACUCGUAUCAACGGCAUUACGAGGGCUGUACUGUCUCCUUUCUCCAAUCAGUGAAACUGAUCCCCCCGUGAAAAAGCGGGGAUAAACCUAUAAGACGAGAAGACCCCAUGGAGCUUUAAACCCAUCACACACCUCUACGCACCUAAAACAAUAUAGCCCAAGGGGCUUCUGUGCUGGUUUUAGGUUGGGGGGACCGCGGAGUAAAAUUUAACCUCCACGACAGACGGACUAACACCCUUAUCCACGAACCACAAUUCUAAGAGCCAAAAAAUUGUUGUCUAAUGACCCAAUUACUUGAUCAACGGACCAAGUUACCCUGGGGAUAACAGCGCAAUCUACUUCAAGAGUUCAUAUCGACAAGUAGGUUUACGACCUCGAUGUUGGAUCAGGGUAUCCUAGUGGUGCAGCCGCUACUAAAGG